RNAcentral lists this long non-coding RNA (2325 nucleotides) under Canis lupus familiaris (dog). RNAcentral describes it as "lncRNA (ENSCAFG00845024726.1)". Lineage: Eukaryota; Metazoa; Chordata; Mammalia; Carnivora; Canidae. The record is from RNAcentral.
AUGGUGGUUUACACUCCAGAAAAAGGGAAAACUUGGUUUGGGCAACCACCUGGAAGAGGCAGUCACCUCAGGCUGGAUUGCUGCUCUUGGGAGGCAGUGAUUUGCAGCAGGCUCUUAACUCUUGAAACUCUUCCGGGAAGAGGAGGUGGUAGAGACAAACUUGACACUGGAGCUGCUGGAGUAGUAGCUCCCGCUGCCACCUCCUCCAAGACCACCGCCAAGACCACCGCCCAGACCGCCACCGAGGCCACCACCAAAGCCACUGCCUCCACCAAAACCACUGCCGCCGCCGUAGGCAGAGGACAUGCUGUUUGUGAUGACAGCUGCAGAGAAAGGAGGGAGAAGUUGGUGAGACCAGUGUACUAGAUUGAUCUUAUGUGCCCAAGUUAUUUGAUCCCACUAGUGUUAACACUGUACCUGGCCCCUUUCACAGAGUAGCAAAUGAGUCUCAGAACUAAGCUAUUUAUUUAAGGUCCCUAACAGAAAGUUAGUGAGCAUGGAAGGCAAGGGAUGGUGCUAAGUCCUCAGGGGGUAGGGAAAGUGAGGGGAGAGGGCACAGGAUGUAUGGGAUAUUGGGCCUACCCUUUAAGAAAUAAGACAUGAACAUGUUGGUUCAUGUCUCAACCUGUGUUUUUUCCCCUCCACCACCUGCUUCUCUCUAAGUAUAUUAAAUAACCACAUAUUAGGAUGGGAGUUUCCAGUAUCCAGAAACAACGGGAUUCUGAAUUGGCCCCAAAUACCCCAUAUUACCAUCAUUGUUAAUGUCUGCUCAAAGGUACUUACAGAUGUUGACUGGUCCAACUCCUUCUCCACUCAGUCUAAAAGGGGAAAAAAUUAAAGCAAGAGUUAAAAACUCCUCAAAAGACAGUACUAGCCAUGUUUUGAGCUUGUUCUAUAAGCAAGGGGCCUGUAUGCCCCAGAGCUGCUUAAAUUAGAGAAAGAGCCCUCUCCUCUCGAGUGACUUCCCAAUGAAGACAAGUGUCAACCUGUUUGACCUAAAGACAGGUUAUUGAAAGAAGAUUGUAAUUCACAUUCCUCCACCCAUUAUAUGGAAAGCAUGAGUAAGAGGUUGUGGGAACUAUGAAUAUGUAUGAAGCAGUUUGGGCCUGGUAGGAGCUUACAUUCUCUGAGGGAAUUUGGCAUGGACUGACAUACUUCUAACAGGAAGGAUGGGUAGUGGGUAAUGUCAGAAGAUUGCAGAAAAUGAAAUAGUUUAAGAAUCCAAAGGCAAGUGAAUUGAACUUAGCUCGAGUAAUCAUGAAAGGCUUCUUAAAAGAAGGGGUACUUGAAGAAUGUGGAAGACAUUUGUUGAGUUGCUUAGUUGUUUGAAGAAGAGGAAUCUAGGGAUCCCUGGGUGGCGCAGCGGUUUGGCGCCUGCCUUUGGCCCAGGGCGCGAUUCUGGAGACCCGGGAUCGAAUCCCACAUCGGGCUCCUAGUGCGUGGAGCCUACUUCUCCCUCUGCCUGUGUCUCUGCCUCUCUCUCUUUCUCUCUGUGUGACUAUCAUAAAUAAAUAAAAAUUAAAAAAAAAUUAAAAAAAAAAAAAAGAAGAGGAAUCUGGUGGUGGGAACAGGGUGAGAAGGAAUACUGGUGGUGGGAAGAGGGUCAACAAGAUGAGUUGGGGCCACAUUGUGUGGGUCAGCUUGGUGUUCGUGGCGGGAAAACUGGAUUAGUGAAGAAUAAUUAUCAUGCACAAGAAAGCAGUCACUUGUGUGUGUGAUUUACACCCUGUAGCGGAGAAGAAGCUCCAUUUUGUCAAAUGUGACGCCAUCCUGGGCUGUUGAAGUCAGCUUUAUGUCACCCACCUGCACUCCUCGCCCUCCAGCAGCUUCCUGUAGGUGGCGAUCUCCACGUCCAGGGCCAGCUUGGUGUUCAUGAGCUCCUGGUACUCCCUCAGCAGCCGGGCCAUGUCCUGCUUGGCCUUCUGCAGGGCCUCCUCCAGCUCAGCCAGCUUGUUCUUGGCAUCCUUGAGGGCCAGCUCCCCGCGCUGCUCAGCAUCAGCGAUGGCAUUCUGCAGGUUGGCGCACUACAGAGGGAAAGAAGUGUGAGUGGGAACCCUUUUGUAGCUGACCUAGGCCUGUUGUAUCUCUUUCUGGGAUUCCGGGGAGAAGCCAGUACACUGGUCACUGUAGAUGGUGGAACAUUGAAACGCUGUUCUAGCUCUGUACUUGCUCUAGGGGGUGUGUGUGUGUUCAUAAAAAGUAAAACAAAACAAAAUAGGUCUGCCUUUCAGAGCUCAAGCCCCUUCCUUGCCUUCUUGCAACCUCUUCCUACCUGCUUCUUGACAUUGUCAAUCUCGGCUCUCAGCCUCUGGAUCAUCCGGUUCA